AGAGUUUGAUCAUGGCUCAGAUUGAACGCUGGCGGUAUGCUUAACACAUGCAAGUCGAACGGAAACGAUACUAGCUUGCUAGUAGGCGUCGAGUGGCGGACGGGUGAGUAACGCGUAGGAAUCUGCCUGAUAGUGGGGGAUAGCCCGGAGAAAUUCGGAUUAAUACCGCAUAAUCUAUUCGUAGUAAAGUGGGGGACUUUCGAGCCUCACGCUAUCAGAUGAGCCUGCGUAAGAUUAGCUAGUUGGUAGGGUAAAAGCCUACCAAGGCGACGAUCUUUAGCUGGUCUGAGAGGAUGAUCAGCCACAUCGGGACUGAGACACGGCCCGAACUCCUACGGGAGGCAGCAGUGGGGAAUAUUGGACAAUGGGGGCAACCCUGAUCCAGCAAUACCGCGUGUGUGAAGAAGGCCUGAGGGUUGUAAAGCACUUUCAAUUGUGAAGAAAAGUUAGCGGUUAAUAACCGUUAGCCUUGACGUUAACUUUAGAAGAAGCACCGGCUAACUCCGUGCCAGCAGCCGCGGUAAUACGGAGGGUGCAAGCGUUAAUCGGAAUUACUGGGCGUAAAGCGUGCGUAGGCGGUUUAUUAAGUCAGAUGUGAAAGCCCCGGGCUUAACCUGGGAACUGCAUUUGAAACUGGUAAACUAGAGUAUGGUAGAGGAAAGUGGAAUUUCUGGUGUAGCGGUGAAAUGCGUAGAUAUCAGAAGGAACAUCAAUGGCGAAGGCAGCUUUCUGGACCAAUACUGACGCUGAGGUACGAAAGCGUGGGUAGCAAACAGGAUUAGAUACCCUGGUAGUCCACGCCGUAAACGAUGAUAACUAGCCGUUGGGGGGGAUUUACCCUUUAGUGGCGAAGCUAACGCGUUAAGUUAUCCGCCUGGGGAGUACGGCCGCAAGGUUAAAACUCAAAGGAAUUGACGGGGACCCGCACAAGCGGUGGAGCAUGUGGUUUAAUUCGAUGCAACGCGAAGAACCUUACCUGGUCUUGACAUCCUGCGAACUUUCUAGAAAUAGAUUGGUGCCUUCGGGAACGCAGUGACAGGUGCUGCAUGGCUGUCGUCAGCUCGUGUCGUGAGAUGUUGGGUUAAGUCCCGUAACGAGCGCAACCCCUAUCCUUAUUUGCCAGCACGUCAUGGUGGGAACUAUAAGGAGACUGCCGGUGAUAAACCGGAGGAAGGCGGGGACGACGUCAAGUCAUCAUGGCCCUUACGACCAGGGCUACACACGUGCUACAAUGGGAAGGACAAAGAGCCGCGAAGCCGCGAGGUGUAGCUAAUCUCAUAAACCUUUUCGUAGUCCGGAUUGGAGUCUGCAACUCGACUCCAUGAAGUCGGAAUCGCUAGUAAUCGUAGAUCAGAAUGCUACGGUGAAUACGUUCCCGGGUCUUGUACACACCGCCCGUCAUACCAUGGGAGUGGGUUGCACCAGAAGUGGCUAGUCUAACUUAGUGAGGACGGUCACCACGGUGUGAUUCAUGACUGGGGUAAAGUCGUAACAAGGUA
RNAcentral lists this ribosomal RNA (1499 nucleotides) under uncultured bacterium. Its description in RNAcentral is "bacterial SSU rRNA". It matches the Rfam family "Bacterial small subunit ribosomal RNA". The record is from RNAcentral.